GCGGCUACACAUGCAGUCGAGCGGAUGAGGGGAGCUUGCUCCCUGAUUCAGCGGCGGACGGGUGAGUAAUGCCUAGGAAUCUGCCUGGUAGUGGGGGACAACGUCUCGAAAGGGACGCUAAUACCGCAUACGUCCUACGGGAGAAAGCAGGGGACCUUCGGGCCUUGCGCUAUCAGAUGAGCCUAGGUCGGAUUAGCUAGUUGGUGAGGUAAUGGCUCACCAAGGCUGCGAUCCGUAACUGGUCUGAGAGGAUGAUCAGUCACACUGGAACUGAGACACGGUCCAGACUCCUACGGGAGGCAGCAGUGGGGAAUAUUGGACAAUGGGCGAAAGCCUGAUCCAGCCAUGCCGCGUGUGUGAAGAAGGUCUUCGGAUUGUAAAGCACUUUAAGUUGGGAGGAAGGGCAGUAAGUUAAUACCUUGCUGUUUUGACGUUACCGACAGAAUAAGCACCGGCUAACUUCGUGCCAGCAGCCGCGGUAAUACGAAGGGUGCAAGCGUUAAUCGGAAUUACUGGGCGUAAAGCGCGCGUAGGUGGUUUGUUAAGUUGGAAGUGAAAGCCCCGGGCUCAACCUGGGAACUGCUUUCAAAACUGGCAAGCUAGAGUAUGGCAGAGGGUGGUGGAAUUUCCUGUGUAGCGGUGAAAUGCGUAGAUAUAGGAAGG
RNAcentral lists this ribosomal RNA (663 nucleotides) under Stutzerimonas nitrititolerans. RNAcentral describes it as "bacterial SSU rRNA". It matches the Rfam family "Bacterial small subunit ribosomal RNA", at positions 45 to 704 of the family's 1533-position model. The record is from RNAcentral. Lineage: Bacteria; Pseudomonadati; Pseudomonadota; Gammaproteobacteria; Pseudomonadales; Pseudomonadaceae.